Molecule: long non-coding RNA, 347 nt
Filed under: Chrysolophus pictus (golden pheasant)
Lineage: Eukaryota; Metazoa; Chordata; Aves; Galliformes; Phasianidae
Description: lncRNA (ENSCPIG00010006042.1)
Source: RNAcentral
AAUUGCUCCCAUGCAAAGCUUGUAGGAAGCAGAAAAGCAGAGUUCCUGUGGCAUAAUGACUGUUCUGGAAAAUGCUGUCAGUGGAUUUUCCAUUACUGGGCACAUAUAAUGAAUGGGAAAAAGUGCAGAGAGAUCCCAUAGGUACAGUGGUGGAUGUGUAGAAGGGCGAUGGAUGUCAUCUACCUGGACUUCUGCAAAGCCUUUGACAUGGUUCCUCUCCAUCCUUCUCUCUAAAUUGAAGAGGUAUGGAUUUGAAGGAUAGACUCUUUGAUAGAUUAGGAAUUGGCUGGCUAGACGCAGCCAAAGGGUUGUGAUCAAUGGUUCUGUGUCAGGGUGGAGGCUGGUCA